GGCGAUCAGAUACCGCCCUAGUUCUGACCGUAAACGAUGCCAACUAGCGAUCCGCCAGUCGACUCAUCGCUCUGGUGGGGAGCUUCCCGGAAACGAAAGUCUUCCGGUUCCGGGGGAAGUAUGGUUGCAAAGCUGAAACUUAAAGGAAUUGACGGAAGGGCACCACCAGGAGUGGAGCCUGCGGCUUAAUUUGACUCAACACGGGGAAACUCACCCGGCCCGGACACCGUAAGGAUUGACAGAUUGAUAGCUUUUUCAUGAUUCGGUGGAUGGUGGUGCAUGGCCGUUCUUAGUUCGUGGAGCGAUUUGUCUGGUUUAUUCCGAUAACGAGCGAGACUCUGACCUACUAAAUAGUUGACGCAUUGCCAUUGUGCGCACAACUUCUUAGAGGGAUUUUCGGUGUUUUCAACCGCACGAAAUUGAGCAAUAACAGGUCUGUGAUGCCCUUAGAUGCCCGGGGCUGCACGCGCGCUACACUGGCAAACGCAACGUGCCUGUCCUGCCCAGAAAGGAGCGGGUAAACCCCUGAAAUUUUGCCGUGAUUGGGAUCGGACAUUGCAACUAUUGUCCGUGAACGAGGAAUCCCUUGUAGGGGCGAGUCAUCAACUCGUCCUGAAUACGUCCCUGCCCUUUGUA
Molecule: ribosomal RNA, 636 nt
Filed under: Rotylenchulus reniformis
Lineage: Eukaryota; Metazoa; Nematoda; Chromadorea; Rhabditida; Hoplolaimidae
Description: SSU rRNA
Rfam family: Eukaryotic small subunit ribosomal RNA
Source: RNAcentral